This 460-nucleotide ribosomal RNA is filed under the name uncultured bacterium. Its description in RNAcentral is "partial 16S ribosomal RNA". It matches the Rfam family "Bacterial small subunit ribosomal RNA", at positions 338 to 795 of the family's 1533-position model. The record is from RNAcentral.
CCUACGGGAUGCAGCAGUGAGGAAUAUUGGUCAAUGGACGAGAGUCUGAACCAGCCAAGUAGCGUGAAGGAUGACUGCCCUAUGGGUUGUAAACUUCUUUUAUAUGGGAAUAAAAUGUUCCACGUGUGGGAUUUUGUAUGUACCAUAUGAAUAAGGAUCGGCUAACUCCGUGCCAGCAGCCGCGGUAAUACGGAGGAUCCGAGCGUUAUCCGGAUUUAUUGGGUUUAAAGGGAGCGUAGGUGGAUGGUUAAGUCCGUUGUGAAAGUUUGCGGCUCAACCGUAAAAUUGCAGUUGAAACUGGCAGUCUUGAGUACAGUAGAGGUGGGCGGAAUUCGUGGUGUAGCGGUGAAAUGCUUAGAUAUCACGAAGAACUCCGAUUGCGAAGGCAGUUCACUGGACUGCAACUGACACUGAGGCUCGAAAGUGUGGGUAUCAAACAGGAUUAGAUACCCGGGUAGUC